Molecule: ribosomal RNA, 978 nt
Filed under: Listeria monocytogenes
Lineage: Bacteria; Bacillati; Bacillota; Bacilli; Caryophanales; Listeriaceae
Description: partial 23S ribosomal RNA
Rfam family: Bacterial large subunit ribosomal RNA
Source: RNAcentral
CUGAGUACGGCGGAACACGUGAAAUUCCGUCGGAAUCCGGGAGGACCAUCUCCCAAGGCUAAAUACUCCCUAGUGACCGAUAGUGAACCAGUACCGUGAGGGAAAGGUGAAAAGCACCCCGGAAGGGGAGUGAAACAGUUCCUGAAACCGUGUGCCUACAAGUAGUUAGAGCCCGUUAAUGGGUGAUAGCGUGCCUUUUGUAGAAUGAACCGGCGAGUUACGAUUUGUUGCAAGGUUAAGCGGAAAAAGCGGAGCCGUAGCGAAAGCGAGUCUGAAUAGGGCGCAUAAGUAACAGGUCGUAGACCCGAAACCAGGUGAUCUACCCAUGUCCAGGAUGAAGGUAAGGUAAUACUUACUGGAGGUCCGAACCCACGCACGUUGAAAAGUGCGGGGAUGAGGUGUGGGUAGCGGAGAAAUUCCAAUCGAACUUGGAGAUAGCUGGUUCUCUCCGAAAUAGCUUUAGGGCUAGCCUCGAGGUAAAGAGUCAUGGAGGUAGAGCACUGUUUGGACUAGGGGCCCUUCUCGGGUUACCGAAUUCAGAUAAACUCCGAAUGCCAUGUACUUAUACUCGGGAGUCAGACUGCGAGUGAUAAGAUCCGUAGUCGAAAGGGAAACAGCCCAGACCACCAGUUAAGGUCCCCAAAUAUAUGUUAAGUGGAAAAGGAUGUGGGGUUGCUUAGACAACCAGGAUGUUGGCUUAGAAGCAGCCACCAUUGAAAGAGUGCGUAAUAGCUCACUGGUCGAGUGACCCCGCGCCGAAAAUGUACCGGGGCUAAACAUAUUACCGAAACUGUGGAUGAACCUCUUUAGAGGUUCGUGGUAGGAGAGCGUUCUAAGGGCGGUGAAGUCAGACCGGAAGGACUGGUGGAGCGCUUAGAAGUGAGAAUGCCGGUAUGAGUAGCGAAAGAAGGGUGAGAAUCCCUUCCACCGAAUAUCUAAGGUUUCCUGAGGAAGGCUCGUCCGCUCAGGGUUAGUCGG